Molecule: ribosomal RNA, 440 nt
Filed under: uncultured bacterium
Lineage: Bacteria
Description: partial 16S ribosomal RNA
Rfam family: Bacterial small subunit ribosomal RNA
Source: RNAcentral
CCUACGUGAGGCAGCAGUGGGGAAUAUUGCACACUGGGGGAAACCCUGAUGCAGCGACGCCGCGUGAGUGAAGAAGUAAUUCGUUAUGUAAAGCUCUAUCAGCAGGGAAGAAAAUGACGGUACCUGAGUAAGAAGCCCCGGCUAACUACUUGCCAGCAGCCGCGGUAAUACGUAUGGGGCAAGCGUUAUCCGGAUUUACUGGGUGUAAAGGGAGCGUAGACGGCAGUGCAAGUCUGGAGUGAAAGGCGGGGGCUCAACCCCCGGACUGCUCUGGAAACUGUACAGCUGGAGUGCAGGAGAGGUAAGUGGAAUUCCUAGUGUAGCGGUGAAAUGCGUAGAUAUUAGGAGGAACACCAGUGGCGAAGGCGGCUUACUGGACUGUAACUGACGUUGAGGCUCGAAAGCGUGGGGAGCAAACAGGAUUAGAUACCCGUGUAGUC